Long non-coding RNA from Herpailurus yagouaroundi (jaguarundi), 662 nucleotides. RefSeq lists it as uncharacterized. NCBI's taxonomy places the organism in Eukaryota, Metazoa, Chordata, Mammalia, Carnivora, Felidae. The transcript has 4 exons. The record is from RefSeq and is a predicted model, not a curated record.
UCCUUGUACAGAGGACAAACUUGGACACAGACACAUGUCUGCAGACAGAGAUGGGGGUGAAGCUUCCGCAAGCCAAGGGACACCAAAGAUUGCCAGGAAACCACCAGAGGCUGGGAGAGAGGUAUGGACCGGAUGUCCCUCGCGGCCACCGAGGGAGCCAGCCUGCUCUCAAAUCUGCAUCAAGUUUUGCUUUCAAUGGCUCUUCCCAGUGAAAGUACACAACAGCCGUUUUUCAAGAGGCUGCCAGGGCGUGUCAUUCGAUGUCGCCAGAGGAACCCCCCAACACAGAUCUCAUGAGACAGUGCACCCAGGCAGAGUGGGCCACGGCGGGCCUCCUCACUGCGGUCAGAAAUCUCAAAAUUGAAAAUUCCCAGUACUUCUUCAGAUUCAAACGGAUUUAAUCAUUUCACAGUUGCCCAGUGACCACAUUGCUAUUCACUGUGGUAGUGUGCCUCAUUCAGUGUUUGAACCCGAAUCUGCUCGUGACGAUACAAGACGGAGGCUUUUUUUCUUUUUUCUUUUAGAGAGCGAGAGAGGAAAAAAACCCACAGACCUUCCCAUGGAGCCCAGUCUUGCCCGGGAAGAGGCUGCACACUGGAAUCAAACUGUGGACACGGGGGUGUGCAGGUGGCCAGAGCUGGGGGAGCUGCUUAAAAACAUCU